AACGAACGCUGGCGGCAUGCCUAACACAUGCAAGUCGAACGAAGCCUUCGGGCUUAGUGGCGCACGGGUGCGUAACGCGUGGGAAUCUGCCCUUGGGUUCGGAAUAACAGUUGGAAACGACUGCUAAUACCGGAUGAUGUCUUCGGACCAAAGAUUUAUCGCCCAGGGAUGAGCCCGCGUAGGAUUAGCUUGUUGGUGAGGUAAAGGCUCACCAAGGCGACGAUCCUAGCUGGUCUGAGAGGAUGAUCAGCCACACUGGGACUGAGACACGGCCCCAGACUCCGUACGGGGGGCGA
Molecule: ribosomal RNA, 296 nt
Filed under: uncultured bacterium
Lineage: Bacteria
Description: partial 16S ribosomal RNA
Rfam family: Bacterial small subunit ribosomal RNA
Source: RNAcentral